Molecule: long non-coding RNA, 587 nt
Filed under: Salmo salar (Atlantic salmon)
Lineage: Eukaryota; Metazoa; Chordata; Actinopteri; Salmoniformes; Salmonidae
Description: lncRNA (ENSSSAG00000100350.1)
Source: RNAcentral
GGAAUGGAGCGGACGGAACUGGAAUGGAGCGGACGGAACUGGAAUGGAGCGGACGGAACUGGAAUGGAGCGACCGGAACUGGAAUGGAGCGGACGGAACUGGAAUGGAGCGAACGGAACUGGAAUGGAGUGAACGGAACAGUAUCAAACACAUGUUAAUUCCGUUGCAGCAUCACAAUGAGCCAUUAAAGUGCCAGCAGCAAACCCCUGAGUAGAACAGAGCAGGAGGAGAGUAGCAGAGAUGCUGUAUAGGUCUGUAGGUAGAGAUGCUGUAUAAGGUCUGUAGGUAGAGAUGCUGUAUAGGUCUGUAGGUAGAGAUGCUGUACAGGUCUGUAGGUAGAGAUGCUGUAUAGGUCUGUAGGUAGAGAUGAUGUAUAGGUCUGUAGGUAGAGAUGCUGUAUAGGUCUGUAGGUGGUGAUGCUGUAUAAGGUCUGUAGGUAGAGAUGCUGUAUAAGGUCUGUAGGUAGAGAUGCUGUAUAGGUCUGUAGGUAGAGAUGCUGUACAGGUCUGUAGGUAGAGAUGCUGUAUAGGUCUGUAGGUAGAGAUGAUGUAUAGGUCUGUAGGUAGAGAUGCUGUAUAGGUCUGUAG